Molecule: long non-coding RNA, 40798 nt
Filed under: Brachypodium distachyon (stiff brome)
Lineage: Eukaryota; Viridiplantae; Streptophyta; Magnoliopsida; Poales; Poaceae
Description: long non-coding RNA (BDIS_LNC003394)
Source: RNAcentral
GAAGACGAAACCGACCUUGCUGAACUCGAGGCAAGGAACCCAUUUGGAGCGGAUGAGAUACUCGAUCUGCUUCAGGAGGGACUCCACGGUGAGAGGUGGCAGGUAGGAAAGGGUCUCGAACUUCUUGAUGCCCUCAAUUGGCCACACCUGCAAUUAGAUUAAAAUUAGCACACAAAGUGUGAUUUGAGACACAUAUCGAUGGAGUAUUUCACUUCACACAUAUCGGUAUGAUGAUAUACAUACCUGCAUGCUCGUGAUCCUGCCACCGUUGGAGACGCUGCCGAGGCCAGCGCCGGCAGAGCGGCGGCUGACGGGGAGCCCGGCGGUGGACUUGAGGCCCCGGAAAGGAGCAACAGCGGUAGCCGCCGCCGACAUCACUGUCGGACCCAUAGCAUCCACCCUUGUAUCACUAGAGUAUAUCUACUUAGCUAAUAUGCUAAGUUUGGCACGGAGAGAGGAGGUCGAGUGGACUUCAUUCCUGGUCACAAGGGUUUAUAUAUACCAUAUAACAUACGAGCAAUUUGUGAUUAAUUUGUUGUCGUUCUAGGAGAUGUGGAAAGGGUGGAUGCCGUUCGUUGGUUGCCUUAUCCGUUCUAGAGAAGGGAUGGAUGACCGACGCUCGCUCAGCCGUCUCCUUCGUCCAUCGUUGCCAAUCUUUCUAGCUAUAAUUGGAAGUUCCAAAGGAACAUACGGUUUCAUGCCUACUUCCAUCGGCCUAUCAUGUACCAAUCCAAUAAAAGGACAUCGUUCAACCAUCAAUCCAUGUGUGUGUAGUAAGUGAUUGGCUACGAACCUUCAGCUGACUUGCUUUAUUGGAUAUUUCUGUAAAGCGAGUCCACGGUGUGUGGGUUUAAAAUCUCGUGGCGGCAACUGUUGACGGGUGCAAAUAUCAGUAGCCUUAAAACAAUAAACUUUACUCCGUCCCUUCCGAAAUGCAAGAAUGUCCUAAGUCAAACUUCUUAUGCUGCAGGACCAUAGUUUUUGAGGUGUUCUUCUCACGAGUCCACGAAGAACGGGAAUUUUUUGGUGUCGGGUAAGGGCGGGGGAAUAUAUAGAUGCUAGCAUCAGCAUGACGGGCUAACGGGUCAGGUAGGAUUUUGGACGACGUAGCACCUGACAUGUGGGGGCCACAUGUAAGAAAACCUGUCAAAAUGUCAUAACCCUCUGUUUUGGUCAACUUGAUACAAUCUGAUACAAAACGUGUGGUUUUCCUGACAAAUUAGCAAAUUUUGUGUCUCUGUGAGAAGCACGCCCCAAAAACUGUGGUUCCGUGAAAUUUAUUCACUAGUUACACUUUAUCUACAAACAUCUACGAUUCUAAAAUAGUUUGGUAUAUAUUUUCCGUAAUAUAAUUAUUUGAUAUUCUAAAUUCGGGGAUUUGUUCUUAUAAACUUGGUCGAAGUUUAAAAAGUUUGACUUCGGACAAAGUUACGACUUUUUACAUUUAGGAAUGAAGGGAAUACAUUUUAGUAAAGCAAUUGAGGAAUUGACAGAAUUAAAUAUCUUAAAUUAUACUGGUCCAUCGUGUACUCAUGGCAACAAAAUAAAUUUAUAGUCGAAAAGUUGGACCAUGAAAACUUAAAACGUGAUACAUUAAAAUUGUUGAAUCACUCUACAUCUUGUAAUUUUCUCUUGCAACCUUCUGGCGCGCUACUCAUUCCACAUUUGGUACUAUAUGUAUAAAUGUAUAUAUAUACCGCAUUAGGAGCCUCUAUUACUGUUUUAGUAUAAAUAGCAGUUUCCAUCGACUAUGCACUUCAUUAACUUUUUCUUCACGAGAUAACUUGCUUAUCGAUUUUCUUUAAUUAUCCAGAUGGCUUCUACUAGUUUGUUUCCUUGCUUACUGGGAUUUCCGCAGACUUUACGGUUAGGUAUUAUUGUCGUGUGGACAACACGGUGGCCGGAUGUUGAGAUGAUGAUGUCCUUUAUCUCCGUGUUGCUUCUGAGGACUGCGGAUCCGAGGCUAGUGGCGGUAUGGGAUGCCUCUCUACCUCUUGAUCAGGUCAAUCCGGCUCAGCAAGAGGCGGAUCGAUGGUGGCCGGUGUGACUAGAAGCGGGGAGGUAUAUAUGAAACGUUUCUUGCUUCCAGCAUCUCUUCUAGCGGUAUAUAUGUCGUCAGCUGGUUGAGGGAUUGAUGGCAAUCGAUCAUGGCUACGAUGACAUGUAUACGCGCCGGUAGGAACACAUAUCAGGCAAUGUCGAUGCACCUGCAUUGGGCCCUUGCUGAAGGUGGUGGUGCGUAUGGCAGUCUAAAGAUUUAAGACACAAAUUUAGACUUAAAACUUAAAUAAUCAAUUUGUGCCAGCGGGAAACACACAAACACGUACCGGUAAAUUAUCAUAAUCAGAAUUUGUCGACGAAUUUGAUAUUCUUUUACAAAAUAUACUUAUCUUAAUAUGUAUAACCGGAGUUUAUAUUACAUGCCCCUCUCCCAACGAUAGUUGUAGUACUCUUAUAAUAGUAGUACUCAUGAAUACAGUUAAUCCGGGUUGUUGGGAGAGAUCACAUGCAUAAAUACAACAUGAAACAAACGUGUGAAAAAGGUACAUAAAAUCGGUGUGACCCGUUCUUGUAUUAUAAGAAAUCAACUUGCUUAGGCCUUGCCGGACUCCUCACAACCCGGUGGCUUGAAGGCGAUGAAGCUGAUGCACUGCACUUGCCUGGUGUUGUCGAAGCCGAUGAUGCGGACAUAGGCGUCAGGGUACUCCUUCUUCACCUCCUCCAGCUCCUUUAGCACCUGCGUGGCGUCGGUGCACCCGAACAUGGGAAGCUUCCACAUUGUCCAGUACCUGCCGUCGUAGUACCCGGGAGAGUUGCCGUGCUCACGGAAGACGAAACCGACCUUGCUGAACUCGAGGCAAGGAACCCACUUGGAGCGGAUGAGAUACUCGAUCUGCUUCAAGAGGGACUCCACGGUGAGAGGCGGCAGGUAGGAAAGGGUUUCGAACUUCUUGAUGCCCUCAAUUGGCCACACCUACAAUUAGAUUAAUAAUUAGCACCGAAAGUAUAAUUUGAGACACAUAUCAGUAUUUCACUUCAACAUAUGUACAUGAUGACAUACAUACCUGCAUGCACCUGAUCCUUCCACCGUUGGAGACGCUGCCGAGACCAGCGCUGGCUGAGCGGCGGCCGAUGGGGAGCCCGGCGGUGGACUUGAGGCCCUGGAAAGGAGCAACGGCAGUAGCCGCUGACGACAUCACUGUGGGAGCCAUCGUACACGUACGUAGAUAGCUAACAAGAGGAGGCAGGCUUGCUUGAGUGCUCUCUAGCUACAGCGGCUUAUAUAACUGUAGGCUCCCCACCCAUCCAAUAUCAGCACAAGAUCUAGGAGGGGUGGCUGCAGUUCGCCGCGCGGAUUUGCCCAGGCCACGCUGGCAUCCUACGGAUCAGGUCGGGCGCCACAUGGCCGCACGAAAUGGCGCGCGUUAUCCUCUGGACGGAUACAAUUGGCUGCAACGCACUCUGCAAAUCAUGCCAUGAAGUGACCAAUUUUCACCUAUCAGGAUAGAUCCAAUGUGCCACGGCAUGCACUCAAAAACAGAACUUGCUAAUCCCUCCAAUCCAUAAAAAAUCUCGCCCACUUAUUAGAAAAUUUGUAAUGAGUUAAUGCAAAAUGAGCAGCACUUUUUAUGAACUAGAGGAACAACAAAUUAAGAGAAACUCUUCUAAGAUCUUAUCGAGAACGAAGCUUGCCCCCGCGUCGCUCAGUCUGGGGCGACACGGGCGGCAACCACACCAGCCCCGGCAGCAGCCUCUCCCCGUCCUCUCCUCCCCCUCGCCGCCGCCGGGCAAAGCCCGCACGGGGACGGCGGCGGCGGGGCUGUUUUUCUUGGCGGGGGUGUCCUAGAGCUCUUGGCUGAGGCGUUUGAGGUGCUGCCUCAUCGUGGUCGCGGCGUCUCCGGCCCGAUCCGGCAGGCUAUGCCUCGUCUUCGGCUAGAUCCGGCCGGCUUCCUCCCGGAUCCGGUGUUUCCCCUCGUUCUUCCUCUCCCUGGUGCUCGGUCUGCUCGUGGCUGCGCGGCUUCACGGCGGCGCUCUUCGGCCGGAUCUAGCUACUCGUUGGCCAGAUCCGUCAUCUCCUCCGGCUGAUCCGGCAUGUCCCAGGUCUCUUCGUUUCCAUCAUUUUUCCUCUCAGUUUGGUGAGGCGGCUGAUUGAACUUCACCGGCGGCAGAUGGGCUGCUGCUGCGGCCAUACAUGGUCCAAGUCGGUCCUUUUCGAUGCCAUGGUGGCGUGGUUUUCAUUUUCGGUCGCGUCUUCGGCUGCUGCCCGUGUGCGAGGUAUGGACGUCGGCUCCGGUGUUUGGAGUGUUGCUCUGGAUGAAAACUGCCCGUGUGCGAGGUAUGCCGAAGACAACGAUGUUGUAGCGCCGUUUUCCUUCUUGGAGGUGUCGUCGAAGAGCUUCACUUUCCCUCACUUUGAUGUUUGGUGUCUUCGGGUGAAAACCUAAGAUUUGGCUAUGGCCAGAUCGGGCGACAACGGCGUUUUUACGUCGAUUUCCUCCUUGGGGGCGUUGUCAUGGAGACAACGACUCUUGGUGGCAUCGGGUGGUGUGGUCCGUCUAUGGUGGAGCUUGUUGUCUCGAGUUGUUGAAGGUUUGGUGGUGUCUCUUCUUGUGUCAUGUGUUAGCUUAGGCUGUCGGUUUGUGUCCGGCGAGAACGUGCGUUUCUUAUCCUUUGGUGCGGUUUCGGCAUGUGAUGCCUUUCGUCUUCACUAUCGUCACGUAGGUGUCGUGUUGUAUUCUCGGUGGUGUGUGGUCUUUCGGCUUAGCCAACGGCAAGUGGAGGUAUGAUCUCGGUUGUGUAUUGCCCUUCGACUUCAUCGGCGGCACAUCGGCGUCGCGGUGGGUCUCAGUGACGCGCAGCCCUUCGACUCUGCCGGCUACGUAGGUGUCAUGGUGCGGCCUUGACCCUGUGCUUCCCUUCAGCUACGGCGACGACAUAGUGUCUGGGUGGGCUCGUCAGAUCGACGCCUUUCGACUACAUCAACUAUGCUCUUCAUUGUGCAUUUAUUUUGCCAUUGACAUGUUUCAAGAGUCUAGGUUUUUUCCUUGUGUUUCUUUUAGCAAAUGCUGUUCUGCAGGCUGGCUUUUGCCCACCCGAUCAGAAAAGAAAAACAAAUUAAAGGCUAAAAUCAAGCGAUGUUAUAUUCCCUUAGCUAUUACAAAUAUGGAUGAUAAGAGUUAUUUAUCCUUUUUCAACGAGUAACCCUUUACUUGGAAGUUCCAUGUGCAUGGCGCUGCAAGAAAACAAACAUCAUAAUGGGGCAAGACUUUUUUUUUUAUAAACAUCCAAUUUGGGUUAAAGUCUGAAAGAAUUUGGCUAUCUGAACUUUCAGUUUCCACAUUCUUUUACCUACUCAAUUCUUCAGCCAACAGGAUCAAUGGCGACCUACUAACACCAACCAGAACACAUGGGUCACAAACACGAAAAAGGGCUAGAAGGCUACUUAUACACACUCAUGUGUACUGCGAGCAAAAGAACAUAAUGUACAAAACUUUACAAAAUCUAGGGAAUUAAGACCUUCCCGUAUGCUGUUGCUGCCGCUGCUGCUUCAUGCUGGCUCUCCUGGCAACAUCCCAUGGUUUGUGAGGCACACCUACACCUUGCUGGGAUGCGAAGAACGACUCGUAUCCCGGGGAGUCGAAAGCAAAACCAGUGUGCUUGGAGUUCUCUCGAGGGAGCAUGGAGAUCGCAUAGCUUCUUGCUUCUUCUGGGCUCAAAUGGCUCCUCUCAGGCAGAUGUAUCAUGCUGUAUUCGUGGGGGUCAUCCUUGUGCAUCUCCUGGAUUACUUGGUAGUCAUAGGGAAAGAGCCAUCUUUGGAGCCUGAGAAAGCACACAGCAUCAAAGACAACAAUUGAUUCAGCUACUUCAGUAUGUACAAUGGAAGGAAUAACAAACGGAUGGCAUUAACAAACAUAUAAUUUUGCAAAAGAGCUGGUAUCUUACGAUAGAUACAGGAAAUCACCAAAGAGAGCGAUGACUGGAGCAAGCAUUAGUGUGAGGUAGAAGAAAAAGGUACUCAUCAGAACAUAAAUCACAAAAUAUACAUUUUCCUGCACAAGGUACACAGCAUUAAGUCAAUGCAUUUGUAGCAAGUAAUCGUCAUCAGCAGUGUAAUAGCUACAUUAUUCACCCACCUGUCGGUCAAAUGAUGUCAUUAUCGCAGAAUAUAUGAAGAUAAACAGAAACCAGGCCGCUAUACUGCCAGCUACGCUGAAAUAAUGCCAUCUCGUGAUAGAAUUGCACGACAUGAGGAGACGUAGAUUAACAGUCACCACAACACAAGUAAAGGCCAUCGUGCUAACAUCCCAUUGACCAAGAAUCUUGCCAGAUGAACCGUGACCAUGCUGACUUGCAGCUGCAGUAAAGUAAUAGAACACUAUUGACUGGUAGAAGGCAAAGAAACCCCACACCGCAAUCACUUUCCACCGGAAGAAUGUGUUCCUAAUUCCUUCUUGGUAAAGUUGUGGGUAUUUUUUUGAUAGAGAUGCACUCACAUCCUGAAAGGGUUCAGUUUAGUGAAUGUAGCAAGGAGCGUCACUCCAGAACAAGAAAAGUAGAACAAAUACAAGCAACCAUACCUUAUCAAACAACCCAACCAUAAUUACAGGUAGUGCCGUGAAAAUGACAUUAUACAGAGACUGGAACCAGUCAUCAUAAAAUCGCUGACCAGAAAAGCCAGUUUGGAAAGUGAACCAGAACUGAGUUAGUGUAAAAGUCAGAUUCUUGUAGAAGAAGUAUGUGAUAACCUGAAACAGAAAGUGUCAAUGUUAAAAAAAUUAAACUACACAGAUUGGCAGCUACAAGCUAAGGGACCAAAGCAUACCUUGCACAAUCUCAAGUAUGACCACCGCCCAUGUACAAGAAGUAAAUCCGUAAGAUAUCGAAACUGAGCAAUGGCAAAAUCACUCGCCAUAACAGCUUGCAUUCCUUCUUGUCCGCUGAUGCCAAUACCAACAUGAGCAGCUUGAAUCAUACUCACAUCAUUAGCACCAUCACCAAUACUGAGAGUUAUCUUACGUGCACCUUUCCUAACUAAACUUGCAACCUACAAAUGUGUCAACAUUACAUGUUUUGGCAUCAUUCGAACCCAACAGGUUAUUAGGAAAUAAAUCCAAAAAUAAGAGACUUUGAGAUUGCUGAUGGGAUGGGUAACAACCAAAUAAGCACAUAUACAAUAAGUUAAUUAAUACUACCUUUGUUUCAAAAUAUUAUACCAAAACGUCUUAUAUUUUGAAACAGAGAUAGUACUUAUAGUACAAGAGUGUACAGGACAUUUAGUUAAGAGGCCAAAACUAGAAUAGCAAAAGCAACCAAUGCACAGUGGUUAAUAAUGAUCUUGUGAAUCAUGCACAAACUAUUUUGUUGUCAAGGUACAAAAUUGGAUCCUUUAAAAUGUAAUAAUAUCAAUAUCCCCCGUUUAUUGCCCAAGCAUCCUGAAAGGCAUGCAGCUGAGAGCUGCAGACCAUACUGCUAAUUAUUUCAUGGGAAAAGGCAAGGCAUGCAUGAUAAGAACGCUAAAAGCGAGAAUUGAUAUUUACCUGUGCCUUUUGCAGUGGAGAAACUCGACAACAUACAACUGAUUGGCAAAUUAAACUCAAACCAAGAAGAUUCACACGCAGAGCUGGGUCUAGAGCGUACAUCAAGCAUCGUCCAUCAAUAAUGAAAGCCAACUUUCGUCCUGGCGUGCUCCUCAAAGAACGGUGGGCUUCCUCAAGGUAACUUCUCAGACUCUGUUUUACCGAGUCUUUGAUAACACGUGCAAUUUCCACAGGGUCUCCCUGAAAAUGACUGGAACAUUAUUCAUGGCAAAGAUAUGUGCAUAAGUUGAUUUACAUCAAUCAGAUACAAAUGCUAAAUUGCUAAUUAUGGUUGAUCAAACUGCAAAACACACGAGAUAUCCAAAAGGCUAUAUAAACAUGAUGGAGAGGCUAAAGCACUGAAACAACAGAAUCAACAUAAAGUAUUUUGUACUAUUAUGCAACUAAGCCUUUUGUCCCAAGCAAGUUGGGGCAGGCUAGAUAUGAAACCCAAACAGAAACUAAAGCAAAGUGCAGGUAACAAAAGAGCAAGAGAGUAAAUCAAGGUUCAGGCACAUGGACUGCUGAUUUCCAUGCAGCCCUAUCAAAAGCAAAAUCUCUAGAUACAUUCCAGUCCUUCAAGUCCCUUUAACUGCCUCCUACCAAAAGCAAAUAUCAUAGUAAUCCACCAACCAAAGUAACAAGGGAACUACUUGUAACUUCUUAGUUCACAAGUACAUACCAGUUGAGCUAUCCAAUUAUUCUAAAUAAUAUGGUUUGAUACCUUUACCAAAGUCUCAACUUGUAUUCAUUUUAAAGCUUAUACAAGAUAUUAUAUGUUAUGGCUUAACAGUCUCCAUGACACAAUAUGGCUUGACUUCACAGUUUAAUUCUAUAGGAUUAUCUUACCCUGUCUUCAGCAUCUCUAAUUGCAUCUGUCUCAGAAGUGAUGAUGAAUUGUUUUGUAUCGUUAUUCACCAGGCUGCACGCUGCAGAGCAAAAACUAAAUAACUUCAGAAGCUUUUCUAUGUCAGGUGAAAGAGAGAGAAAAAGACCGCCCGCCCCCCACCAAUAAUCCAAAACUGAGCUUCUAUUAGACCCCUUAAGAACGAAACAAGCAUGCAAAUUGAUCUAUAUAUAAUUAAAACCUCACCAUAUGCUAUAUUAAUUGCUGUUUCCAUUUUAUCUCCAGUUAGCACCCAAAUUUUUAUGCCAGCUGCAGAAAGAGUUUCAAUGCAGGCUGGAACCCCUUCUUGCAGUUUGUCUUCUAUUGCAGUGCACCCUAUCAAUAUAAGGUCCUUUUCAAUCAACUCAGCCACCUACAGGGGAAGAAACAGAAGGAAAUUAUAUGGCAAUGUCCCAGCAAUAUCUUAAAUCAGAAUAUACAUUAAGUCUAUUACUUCAAAUUCCUUUUUCCUAGAAAUCACAGUGAACUUAGUACAUGAAAGAAUGAAAGGAUAAUGCUUUUCUAAUGGGGAUUUGAAAAAACAUCAUAAAAAUAAUAAUAUAAAGUACUGUAUGUUCUUGUUCUAGAUAAAUUACAAAUAUCUUUUGCUCAUGAUCCUCUUUCCUGACUAAAAAAUAUAUAUUAUUAUGUAAAAUACUAAUGUUCUAUGGCAGUACAAGAUAAUAAAUUAGCACAAAAAACUAUUAAACUGCAAAUGUCAGCUGUUAGGGAUGGAUGACAUGACUCCUGUAGUUUUGGGGGGAGAGAGAGAGGAGACACACUGAACAAAUUACUUCCUUCGUCUCCAAAGAUUGCCAUGCCACAUUCUAUUCGGUCAGUCAACCUUUUACAACUUCAAAAUUAACAAUUAUAAGUGAAUUGAAUUACUACAUGAAAAAUAACAGCACUCAAUUUGCUUGCAUAAUAAUUUGUACGCAAAACUUUUGCUUGUAUAUUAGCAUAGAAAUCAUAGCCAGAGUUUUAUGUUGGGAGAAUAUAAAAUUAAAAAAUGGCCUACAUUUGUCAGGUACAUUCAGUUAAUUGUUUCCAAAACCAAAUUAAUUUUCAUACAUAAAUACCAAACGGAUCAAUAGCAUGCUCAACAGUGCACAUGAGACUCGAGUUCAGUACUGGAUGACAGAAAGUAAAAAAAAUCAGGCAAGCACUAGAAGGUGGAGGGGAAGUAAUCGAAAUUCAAAUCACAGGGACUGUUCAGCCUGUAUACUCAACAGAAGAGGAUGGUACACAUACCUCAUCAAGCUUCUUAUCACGAUCUCGUAAAGAAGAUUUAGCUUGAACAAACUUCUCAUUCCAGCUUUCGUACUGCUCCCUGCUUAGAUCUCGAUAAGCAAGGCAAAGCGUGCGCAAGCCAGCAGAGCCAAAUUGUUCUAGAUGUUCUCUGCUUGUCUUUUUAAUGUCAUGAUUUCCAUCAGCUAACCGUUCAAAAAUGACAUUAUCAGCGCCCUGUUACACAACAUUUGUAUAAGGUUAGUGCAUCAAUCUACAAAGUGAUAGCUACAUAAAGAUUCUUUUUUCUUGUAUUACCUUGCAAUACAGAACAAGUUUUCCAUUUGGGAAACGGCAAACCACAGAUUGGCGCUUUCUUGUACUGUGAGUGCAGUAAAGUGUGAAGUGCAGAACAAUGAUUUCAUCUUGUCAAAUUUAAAUUGAAAACAGAUAAACCAGACCUGUUGAAUUCCAAAACAUUCAGAAUUUCAUAUGCAACAUCUUGUAUACUCCCCAUCCUCUCAACAUGUGAUUCCCGAACCAAGACUGUGGUUGGCGUACGUCUACAAGACAGGCACAAAAUGUCAACCACCGGCAUUGCCAUUCACAAUAAAAAUGCCACAUGAAAUAAUUUGCAACAAAAAUCAUAAGAACUUAGAUGAGUUCAUGUUCACAGCACUUGCUUUAACACUUGUCUUAAUUUACAACGGCAAUUUUUUGUUGAUGGGCUAAUAGUUUAUUUAUGCUUCUUAGUAUGUACAUUCAGUCCUUCAUACAACAAACUAUAUAAGCAAUAACCUGGGUGAGUGACUCUUUUAUGCACAUUUUCCUUGGGACCAUAGCAUAGUUUUUUAAGAUACCUUGUUUGCAACAAACUGAUAAGAGGAAUCUAUAACUGUAUUUAAAGGCAAGGUAAGACAUGCCUAUAAAAGAAGAAACCAAAAUUCUUCGCAGCAGCGACAAGCGCGGCCUCGUCGGGAGAGGCAGCUUGAUAAGUAAUCUUUUCCGGUGUCUCCUCACCCUCAGGAAGAACUGUAUGACAGAUUGCAAGGCAUCUGCAGAAUUGCUAUAGAGCAAAUAACAAAGUUGUUACACAACUAGCACAUUAACAAGGGAAAAUGUGAAAAAGGAAAAUAGGUUCCAAAUUUUAUUAGUAAGGGCAUAUAUCGUGAUAUGUGAAUAAUUUGUGUCAACUAAAUCAAAACUGAUUAUGACCAAAGGGGAACCAAUCGAACUAUUCCACAGGUAGUCCCGUAUUUACCACGCAAGCAUCAGGAUUAGGUUCAUUUCUCCAUGCACCACGCAUUAUUCUAGCAUCAUCAAAGUUGAAUCCUUUCUCAUGAACUGCAGUGGCUGAUCUUUUACCCUAAAAAAGGCAAGUAAACUGGAUAUUAAAUCAGUUGUGCAUUAAAUUUUUCAUCAUAUACCACCACACUUCAAUAGCGUAAACAACAAAGAAAAUGUUGUAGACCUCAUCAUCAUCAAUCUUGACUCCGGCUCGCUCGGCUCCUCCUUUUUCAAUCUCUGUGAUGCCAGUUCCAUAUAUUUCCCCUCCAAUCGAACAUUUAAAGAAUUCCAUCAAGUUUCUUGUAAGUGUUCCAGUUUUGUCAGAAAAUAUAUACUCAACCUGAACCAUUAGUGGGGCAAAAAAAAUUUGGCAGAAAUGUCAAAUUAUUUGCAAGUGUUAAGUGCAUUUUAGUACCACUCGGCAUUUGUUCAGUCAUAUAAGCAUUUCUGGGGAUCUAGAACAGUUUUUCGGUGGGAGUAAGUCACUUAAUAUUAGUGAAAUGAGACUGUUCCCCAAGUGCUUAUAAUUGAUCCCACUUUCUGGAAUGAGUCGGUGCAGUGAGGUCAUUCUAUCCAUUAACCAAACCCAGCCAUAUAGGUCAAAUAAGUAAAUAACCCCAUUUCAGCAACAAACAAAGGGGCUUUCAUCAAACUAAACAGAAUGCUAAGGAACAAAAAAAAAACUGAUAUUACCUGCCCAAGCUCCUCAUUCAGAUUAGAAGUCCGAGCCAAAGCUGGGGUGUUGCUCUCGGCAUGAUACAUAUUCAGAUCAUUGUUAAUAAACUUUGCACACUGAAUGAAUUUGAUCAUCUGCCAGCCAAAAUAAACAUAAGGUCCAAUCCAAAUACAGGGUACACUAAAUGAUAAAUUGGUCAAUAUACCUCAAUGGAUACAUAAAGAGAAAUGGGGAUGAUCGUUGAGUAUAGAGUUAUUAGAGUAAACAUAGUUAAAAUGGUCACCUGCAAAAGUACAAACCUAUGAUAUAAGGCCACUUAGAGAAUAUUCUCUACAAUAAAUUAACUAAAAUAAUAUAUACCACAAAUCUGUUCUUGGGAUUAAACUGGUCCUCGACACGCCCACGCAAUCCAAGAUAGAAGUAUUUCUCAUUAAUAAACACGCCACUGUUCACAAAAGCCAAGUAUGAUGAGUCCAUUGGUAGAGUUUUAGGUUUCUAAAGAACGUGCAAGCUAAGCAGUCAUAGUUACCAAAAUCUAUAUGCUGAACAGAGCACUUCCAUUUCUGACCAUCUAGAAAGUGCCCUAUUAUGUACCUCCCACAUAAAACCACUAAGAAAAAAGAUAAGGCUAUUAAGACCUAGUCAUGUGCUCAUCUAUACUGCUCCUAUGCCACAAUAAAAAAAUAACUUCCCCAAACAAGCUCCUGACAACUCAUGUCAUAAUGUUUAAAGUUUAUCUCUCUAUUAACAGUUGUUUUUUCAUGAUCAAUUAAAUUGUGAAAAAUGAUUGUGCAAGCAUAAGCCUCCACAACAUCAACCUAACCGAUAUAACUCAUGUUCAGAGAAUAUACAUGUAAACAAUAAUACAAGAUAGAUAAGUCAAAUAAAUGAAGUGGGCCAAAUAAAACACUGACCUUCCAAUAGCACCAAUGACACACAUCGUAAAGAGGGUUGCAAAUAGAGCAAGAAUAAGCUUGUCUAGUUUCUUCUCCAAUGUACUUCUUUUAGAGGGAACAUUCAUAGAAUUCAUCAUAACCUGCAAUAGUGUCCCACUGCAGUAAAUCUCAAAACUAGAAGCACAUCUAACCUACAAGUUGAAUAUAUAGGGACACAAAAUUGCACAUACUUUCGUCUCAUGGCCCGUGAAUAUAACAGCCGCGACAAUGUACUCUGUAUUACGAAGGCUGCAUCCCUGUGGCAAAGUGGUAAUAAGAGGUUGCAUGUGUGCCACAUAAAGAGAGAGAAUUAAGUGUCAUGCAAGACACCGUUCAGUCUGGUGAAAGUAAACAUUUCUUUUGCACUUUACAAACAUUGCUUCAACCCUUCACCACUUAUCCUACAUAUGGGACUAGAGAAGAAAUGGAAGUUGUUUAUAUGAAUGUUAAACAUUUCCAAAUUGUUUAUAUCAUAGCUAUCCUUGUUUGCAAACCAAUAAGAACAAUAUUAUUAUAGAGGUGUUUUAUGAUGAAAAUUUCUGCUGGUGACAUUUGGGUGUCGUCAAUAUUGGUAUUUGGAGGAGAUGUUGGUGAUCAAAGUUAAAGGCCGAGUAAAGGCAUCACGCUAUGAUGUUAUUUUUUACCUGAGGGAUUUUCUUAACAAACUCAUGCUAAAUCUAGAACAUGCAAACAACUUUGCAGGUGGACAAUCUUGUAAAGAAAUUUCAAGGGCAUGUUUGUGUGAGGGGUAUUACUUUGGUACGUGUUGGUAACUACAUACCUAAUUGUUACAAGAAAAAUCUCAUCCAAACAAGCCCUAAGGACAUUAUGGACCUUGCUACUGCAAAGUUGGUAAGUCGAAAAUACGACAGGAUGUCUGAUUGAUAUGUAGGACCUGGACCCACAUGUCAUUCUCACAGCGAGUCGCACUAUUUCAAAUGUCAACUUUGUGGUGGCAUGGUUUCAAUUUUCCCAAUAAGAAACUAGAUACAAAUAGCAUAGAUGAACAGCACUUACCCUUAGUAGUAUUUGAUUUGGUGAAAUUGGUAUAGUUUGCUUGUCCACAAUAAGGUUCCCGGUAAAUGUAUAAAGUGAAUUGUUUGGCUGUUCGCAUUGUAUUUCACCUGUAAGCCAUGAAACAUACAGAUAAUGUGAAGUUAAGAAAAUGUAGAAUAGUUAAGUGAAGUUCAGAAAAGGAGCAAUGCUUCCUACACCAACUACCGAAAAAUGUCUGCAACAUGGAACAAGAAUAGAUAAAAACCUUUGAAUUCAGAAGCCUUUUCAGGAAUUACGCAGUCCCAGGUUUUCUCCAAAGCCUUCCUUAUUUUCAGGUUAGUUUCCCCAUCAAGAUUUGCUGUCUAAGGUAAAUAGAAGUAUGAUACACUUCAAUUAAAACAGAGUUUCUCUAAAUCAUUCAAUAAUUUCAAUUUGGACAAAAGAUGGAGAAGGUAAGAAUGAAUAUAUUGACCUCUAUGUAGCAGACACCAUCAGGGUUCGUACUUGAUAGGAAGAGCAAGUCAGAAGGAAAGUAAGUGUCUUGCUUGAUCUGCUCUAAAGAAGUGCCAUCACUAUUAGUCUUUUUGGAUAUGUGUAUCGAGCUGAAGAUUAAAUUUGCACAGCACAAAAGAUCAAGUGCAUUAAUUUGUGGAAGCAACAGAUCAAUUGAAUUGAUCAUCAAAUUGCUAUCAGGAAAGAUGAAGACAUUACCCUCACAAUAUCUCCAACCUGCAGUCUUUUCCAAGGGGCACUUUCCCAUUUUUGACCUUGCAAUACAUCGACGUGCGCAUUAUUAAUUGACAUGUCAUUCUGGAAACGUUUCUGUAUAAUGGGAGGCAAACAAAAAGGGAAGAAUAUCAGAUAACAUUAAGAAUAGCAAUAAAAUAGUGGAGCAACAGAGCAUGAGAGCAAUACUAACCCAGUCCUCAAAAGCUUCCUUGAUGAGUGAAACCAAAAGCACUAAACUAAGUGGAACCACAUUGGUGACAGGGUGGACUGGACUGCGAAGAUACAAGCAUGUAUGAACUAAGAUUUCUAGAAGUAAAGGUGAAGGAAAGCAAAGGAUGACUGAAUCAACUGAUGGACUUGAUAUGCUAAGAAGUGUCUAGCUGUAACAUGAGAAUUCCAUAGGGUGCAUGCAUGAGAGAGAGAGAGAGACCUAAUUGGUGUAGUCGACAAGAUUGAAAUCAUAAGAAAGUAAAGAUUUGCCACCCGUCUGAACUGUCAAAGCAAAAAAAAAAACAAAUGAAUUACAAAAGGUUCCUAUGGUCAAAUUGCGAUAAUACAGAAAGGGAACAUCUAAAUCGGUGUUACAGCUACCAUUGCAAAGUUUCUUUAUUCGAUAUGGAAAAAUGCAUUACAUGUUUAAUGUAUGAAGCCAUUGAAAUACUUUAAUGUACCUUACGUAAAAAACAGUGGAUAAUGAAAUUGCCAGAAUUAUGGUAUCGCAUAAAAUGAAGGUUACAUUGAGCGAAAAGCAUGAUCAGGGCUUUACCAAAUAACAAAAUCAUACUUCUCCUUUUCUCAAUAUAUGGCAUUUUAGGUUUCAUUGAAGACAAGUCUUUGAAAAGGAUUUACUUUGUGUUGUUUUUAAGGCAUGAAAUUUAUAUCACUAGAUUCAUCCUCAAAAGUACUUAAUGUGGAUUCAUAUCAUAUAAAUCACAUAUUAAUGAAGUAAUUCUUGGUCAAAGUCUUGUAUUAACGAAACCUAAUAUGUCCUGUAUUGACAAAAUGAGGGAGUAUAUUAUCUAACAGUGCAUGUAUACAGGCACGAUACUGGUAGCGCGUAUUACAAGCAAGGUAUCUUAAAAACAUUGCAACACAGUGCCAGACCAGGUAAGCAACUAAGCAUCUCAUGUAUCCACUAUUUUAAGGGAAGUUGAUCCAGAGUGAGGAAAUAAACAUUUUUAAGGAGAUAUAUCAAUUUGCAAUGUGAAAAUGAUACGGAGUAGUAUAAUCAUUUCACUGUGAUAACAAAUACUCCCUCCGUUCUAAAUACUUGUCGCUGUUUUAGUGCAAACUAAAACAGCGACAAGUAUUUAGGAACAGAGGGAGUAACUUCCAUUUACCGUUAGACAUGAUACAAAAUAAUAUGUUGAAAAAAAAUCUAGCCAAAAACUAAAAAACAAACAGAAAAUCUGCAUUAAACGAUGACAAACCCAGCAGGUAUGUUGAUUAACAAAAUAUGUAUGAACAAAAAACAACGCAUCAAUACCUGUUCAAACAAUCCUUUAGGUAGAAAUGUCAGCACACUGUACUUUGUAGUCGACACAGAAUUUCCCUGGAAAUGUAGAAUGAGAAUGUUAAAGAACUAAUUCUAGCAGAAAAACAAAGUAGCGCUCUGCAUUAGAAUCGCGAUGGUCUGAUACCCAACAUGAGGGAGAUUCUGAAACUAAACAGAAGAGCUAAUUGCAACUAGAAGCAUGAAAAAAGUAUAGCUUGAUCUUUUUACAACAUCAAGUCUGAAUACAUUCAAGCAUUUACACUAACUUGGAACAAAAUGUGGGUGUCAAAGAAAAUGCAUGAAUACACCUACUUACAAUAAAGCACCAAUUUUGCAGUGAUUGGACAAACUAUGGUUAAAAUACUUAAUAAUAGAGUUCUACGUAUUUGGAGGCAUAAAACGCAUUGCAGUUGGAGCAGUGGCAUUAUCAUGUUAGUCAGUCUAACAUGGCAGUGAAUGACGUGAAUUUUUUGCUAGUUUAGACCUCUGGCCAGCGCAAUUGACAAAAAUGCCCCCCUCUCAAAACUAAUGCCAAAAAUGGUCUGGCAGAAGGCCCGAAAGGCGCCACAUUUCAUUUUUCGCCAUCUGAGCUGCGCAUGCAAACAUUCCGACAACCUGAAAGGCGGAAAGGCCGUUCCGCCUACUGCAUUUGAUGAAUGCACCUGACAAGGGCGGAAGGUGAACUGGGCCCUGCAGAUGGAAGCAAUUUCCACAUUUGUUACAGACCUGGAAUCUUUUUUUUUGUUGGAGUCGACGGACCAUGUAUGUGCGGAUGCAUAGGAAUCGGCAAGCAGCCUAGCUGCUAGUUCACGGGCACGUUUUACAUUUUCUUUCCUCAGGUUUGGCUAGUGCUACCACGUUGAUACUAAUCAACGCUUCUUGUGAAUGGGCUUAGUUGCUUCUACUAGUCGUGCGAGCGUUAAUCUUUUCUCUGUGCGCCUGCAUGUGCGGGCGUGGGAAUCGGGUCAGGUCCCUGCAGACAGCACGCCUGGCUGCACUGGGCCUGCUUCAGCUUCCGCCCCUGAAAAUUCACUUUCGUCCAUUUCAACUGGAAACAAGUAGGCUCCACCUGUCCUGUUGGCGGAAAGUUCAUUCCUCCUACCCAGUGGCCACUGGGUCAGUUGCUGGGCUUUCCACCACGUCAUUUUUCAAAUUAUAUUUCAGAUGGAGCUAUUUUUGCCAAUUCCGUUUGACAAGGGGCUACAAGAGCAAAGAAAUUGAAUGACAUAGCAAGCAAUCAAUUUCCCCUUAUAGGUAAAUAAUAAACAGCUUUGCUUCAGCUUACUGUCAUCAGCUGGUGGCUGACUGCCCUGACCAAACACAAGUUCAGUAAUCUACACAGCAAGCGGCACACAGGUGCAGCUAAGCACAUGGAUGAACAGAAUAUUCCAGCCAUUGAGGCUCAGCUCUCGAAGCUUAAUGCCAGGUGGCAUCUACAUUGUAUUGCAGCCCGUAGCACCCUGAUUGACUAGUAACCCAACAAUGAGACAAGCUCUAAUCCACCCAAUGACCUCACAGUUGGCAAGAAAUGCAGCCCUUAGUGACACGCACCACCCUACAUAACUUUCUCGUGGACUAAUCAGUAUGAAUCAUAUAAACCCUCUGCAAGCUGCAGUGAAAUAAAACUACUACUACUGAACUAGCUAUUGUCCCAGAUGGCCAUCUCCAACCCAACCGCCCAAGCAUGAAACAAGGGGCCAGUUACGAGAUCUAGGCCUACAGACCCCUAGACCUUGAGACAACCGACCUGUUGAUCAUCCGAAUUAGAGGAGGAGGUGCACACCCGUACCUUGUACCCGACCGGCGCGUUGGCUUCGCGGUCGUUGCAGUAGAUGGUGCGCACGGUGGGUGCCUGCGGCUGCGGCUGCCGUCGGAGGCUGCCGCCCCCGCCGCCGAGACGCGCCGUCCUGGACGCCUCAGCGCGGCCGGCCUGAGAGGUCCCCCCCCGCGGCGACUGCUCGCCGCCCAGCCGCGCGGUGGCAACCCGCAUCAUCUCCUUUAUGCGCGAGCUCAUCCUGCCCCCCUCAGCGCCAAACCCAGCGCUGGAGGAGCCGGCGGGAGAUCUGGGGAAACCUCACGGUGGAUCGGAGGGGAGACCUAGUCGGAUUUGCGCGGCUUUCUGGUGGAUUUCAGUGCCUCGCUGAGGAGGGGAUUCGAUUUGGGUCACGCGUUCCCGUAUGUGCGUAUUUUUUCCGUGUAAUUUUUUUGUUUUGCCUUUUUCUUUUCCUUUGGCUCCGGGAGAAGAGAAGACAGGAGGGGAAGGAAAAGCGAAGGUCGCGACUUCGCGAGGAAGAAAAUGAAGGGAUUACUGCAGAUCACACCCUUGAUUAUUUUCGAAUAUGGAAAGCUCCAGUAACUGAAGUUUGAAAUUCCAGCCGCGUUUGUCUUUUCCUUCUUCGAGCAAACAACCGUGUUCUUGACUUGUUCUAUGUUUUUGCUGUCCGGAGGACUACCCGAUUUGCAAGUAAAUAAUGGCAUUAAUUUCAUAUAAGCACUUUAGGACACCACACUUGACAUGGUUUUCUACUGACGACGACUAUAUGGUGGCUUUGAUGUUCCAUGAAUAGAUCUUUUUAGCGGUGUUUCAAGUUCAGGUGUUAUAACAAAGCAUUACUCUUGACCUAUCUUCCCUUGCGACCAUGCUUUUUGAAUCGCCAAGUCGAGUCGAAUCGCCCCCCAACAGACUUGGAGGUUAGUAUGAUUAGUCAGAAACUAGUCUCGACUAAUCAACCCAAGUCGAGCCUAGUGAUCAGUGAGGUUUAGGGAGCUCUAGCAGGGAGCAUUAGAGGAAAGGAGUGAAUUGCAGUAGAGGGGAAGCACGAGGGAACAGUUUUUGUGGUGCUGGAGCUUGAAGAAGAGGUUCAUGGCGGCUAGGAUCUAGGAGUCGAUAAACUUAGAACGCCCGUGUUGAGGCAAACGCGUUGAGGAAGACGACUUCAAAGGUGGUUGGCUCAUUAUCAGGAUAGGUGCGUGCCUGGCAGCCCAUAAAGGCCUAUUAGAAAACCCUAACUCCCCCCUCCCCCCCCCCCCCACACACACAUUGCCUUCUUCUACACCACACACGCACCAAUGGCGGCCAUCUUCUUCCCCUUCCCUGCUGCUCCCCAUGCCUUCUCUCCCUCCCCGAAAAGAAAUAUCUUCCGAAAAUUCUUCUCUUCGAGUCAAGUUGAGGGGCUCGCGGCGUUCCUAGUCACGGCGGCUAGUCGGAGAAGUCGCGGUUCUAGCUGACGAGUCGCGCGACUUGCUCUGCUAGUCGAGUCGCGGCUGCAAGCCGCCAUCAUUGUGCUGGCUCGGCGACUAGUUGGCGAUUCAAAAACCAUGCUUGCGUCUUAUAAUUUUGUUUCCUCUUAGAUUUUUUUCAAUUAUGUAUGGAACUCUUUUAAGCUUGGCUAACAUAUUGGGUCAAUUUGUCUCCCAUUGAAAAAAAAACAAUUUCCUAUAAAAAAUAAAGUAUCCACAAAACAAUAUGCAUAGCGCAGUUGUUUUCAAAGUUGUGGAUGAAACUUUGUGUUGUACAGGCAACCACUUAAUAACUUGUUCGGUUGUAGAAUUCCCCGCAUGUAUUGAAGAGGAUUAAGAGAGAUCUAAGGAAAAUUGAUCUGCAAUUCGAUCAUUCCCUCUUAAUCCCCAUCGGAGUGGAAUCAACCGAACGGGGCUAAUGUGGACCAUAUCACCUUGAGGACUCCAUUCUUCUUUUAUGGCAACGUUGCAUGGACCUUGAUAUGAACGCACGUGCCUGCAAUCUCUAUUAUUUUUUCGUAAAUAGCAACUGUCCUUUCUGUAUCUUGUAAUAUGUUUUCUACAAUUUUAUUUGGGAUAUUUCGUCAAGAACCCAAAUCGAUUACAUUUUCCACUUUGGCGAAUGAGUCAAGAUUCUCCAUGUGUUCCAGCGAGGCAACUGCGAGCUACACAUGUAUGGUGAAACAAGCCUCGCAACUUCGUAAGUAACUCCAAAACUACAUCAGCACGUCUCUUGAACUUUGGAAACACACAGACGUGUUCCACGACCGUGAGGCGACGGAGUUAACGGGGCAGCGUUGCCGGAAAGACAAGAGUACCGUAACAAGGCCCAGACUGGGCUGCAUCGGCGUUCUGCCUCUAUUACAAGCGAGAGAUGUUGAACCGGCCAAGGUUAGGCAAGGCAGUCAGCGGGAGGAUUUUUUUUUUUUUGUUGUUGGUUUUGAAGAGGCGCGGGAGGAGAAGAACUUGCUUGACCAGCCCACAAGAUCGUGAACCGGUAUGACAUUGACAUUUUAUUUAGGGCCAGUAACGUGUAAUUAGAAGUACUAGCUUACAUCUCUUCCUUUUUGAACCGUCAGAUCUGCAACCAUAUCAUCUCUCCCCUUUGUCCUCUUCGCUAUGCCGAUUUUAGUGAAACGCCGCUGCCAAAUCUUCACAGGAUUGUGAACCGGCAGCAGCUUCGACCCUUCAAUAUUAUUAUUACAGCUAAAUAAAAGACUGAAAUUAUAGGUGAGGUCCUUUGUUCUAAUCGCCCAAGCGAGCAGAAGCCAAGAGAUUACGUGCAAGCAUAGCAUGGCCAUGUUCGCCAACUCAUGACAUAGUGGCACAGGGACUAACCACCUGGAUUACAUGGCUAGCUUCCAUAUAUGUGCAACAAAAUAUUGGUACCAGGCAGCCAUCUGUGCCACCAACCAUAAACUCCCUGAUCCCAAAAAAUACAAAAUACCAAGAGUUUCCACCCACAUCAGUACAAGUGCACAACAGUUUAAGAGACAAGCCAAGGAUCAUUCCCAGUUUGUGGGAAUAAAUAAGAGUCCGCAGCAAACAGAAAACUCAAAAUCGCUGGCAAAGUUAGGAUGUGGAAAAAAGAAAGGCUUAAAAUGAUCUAGCCAUGGCGUCAGAAUCUAUUAUCAAUGUUUCUCUCUCAAGGAUUUCCCUUCUAUAUAAAGUAUAAUAUUACAAAGGGGCUGCUUAAAUAUCAUGGACUCCUGGAAUGUAAAGAGGGUAAUAAUCAACACUACAUGAGCCUCCUUUUUCCUGAGGCUGCUUCCUAAGACUGACUGACUGCUUCCCCGAGGAUCCACAUACACCCUCCCCUCUCCUCAAGUUCCACCUCCCACCAUGGAAGUUAAACCCCCACCAUGGAUCCGAUGCUAACCAACUGUACGCGACCUGGAGAAAGUCAGUCAGCUUGGUGGUUCAAUCAAGACAGAGCAUCACGAUAUUGCCCAAAUGGUAUAAUUGGCAGGAUCAAUAAGUAGUUUAUGCUCGCAGCAAGAUCCAAAAGAACCAAUCUACCAUGACUAAUGUAUGACAAGAAUGAUGUCUUAUGUCUACUUUCAGAUACACUAUGGUCCAGGUGAAACAAUAUUUUAAAGUUUAGUAAUUACUGGCAGUAGUAGACAGACCACAGAAGUGUAAAGAUAUUUGCACACAUGACCUUUUAAUCCAAGGCUAACCCAACCUUGUAAGCUACGUGCUGUUUGUGCUAACGCUGCUGCUUGAAUGCAAUUAGACAGUGGUGAUGUCCUUGUUAGUCUGUUACAUACCUAAGGCAUCACCUCCUGAUUCUAGGUUUGCACCGGAACUCUGCUAAGAGCGCUAUGUGAUCUGAUGACCAUUCAGGUGAAGGAAGAGCAGUGUCUUUUCUUAAGCUCUCCUCAUCCAGAAGUUCCAACAAAGACUCCACGGUCAACGAAUCCGCUGAAACAAUAAAGGAAACAUGAUCAACUGACCAUAAUCAAACAUAUCACAAUACUACAAGCUGAUUCUGAAGCAAUUCCCAGAAGUCUAAAUACAGCAUACAGGUCAGGUACCUACCUGUGUAAAAUAUAUAAUCAACAGUUCCAGUGAAAUCCCUUGUGCAAUUUGUGAAAAGUGGUUCAUUUGUUCCUGGAUCCAUCCUCCUUCGCUGGUGCUCUAAAUCAUAGCCAACACCUACCAUUCUUGCAAAUGAAGAAUAUGCACUGACCUGCAAACAAGUAAACAUUGGUCAGAAUUUUAAAGGAAGAACAAGAUAGACAAGCUUGAUAGUUUUACUGUACCAGAGGAAGCUGGUGCGUCAACUUGCUCACGGGGCGUAAAAUUGAAAGUGGGUCUAUGGCCAGAUCUGGAUGCAAUUGAUCAACUUUGCCCACCGCAAGAAGCCCAUGUGGAGUACUGAAAGACAAAAGGAAGCACUUAGAGAUUUAAAGUUAGAAAAAACAAGUAAACCUGAAAAAUAUUGCUCCAAUAGAAUCUUGACAUGCACCUCCCCGGGAUUGAAUUGAAAUCCCCACAGACCAACAUUGGAAUGUCUGCACUGUUGGCUAUUUUCUCCAAUCCUUUUAGUAGUGUUUGAACCUGCAAAAAACAUACUUACUUUCGAUCUGAAUUUUUCAGAUGUUGCAGAAUGCUAGCCUACAGAGAAUGUGACAAUACUGACCUCCCAUAGUUUCACAUCUUUGAGGUCUUGGUGGACAUUUACAUGUGUAUUGGCCUGAAAUUUGAGAUCAUUUAAAAGAAUGAGACCUCCAUGACUCCAAGUAGCAUAAGCCUAGGCCGUAUGAACAAUGGGAAAUCUGUAGUAAAGUUGGCCUCAAAAUCUAGAGUCUAGAGAGCCAAGUCCCAAUCAUCCGCCAUUAACAUAUAGAUGUUUCCGUGCAUCUUAUGCUACUAAGGUCAUCCUACACAGAUAUAUGUUUCACUUCAUUCCUAAAUGUUGUGAGCAAAGAAGGAAAAGAAUCCAUAUGUUGUUCUGCACUAUGCUGCUAGCAGUUCAAUAGCUAAACAUACGGGAAAGUCCACUUUUGGCCCCUUAACUAUUGCCUCAGAUCAAAAUCAUCUAAUUUGCACCCUCAACUAUCAAAAGCAUCCAAGUUACAUCUGAAGGCAAUAUUUGUUAGAGGCUUUGUGUGAUGUGGCAUCCAUGUCAACGUGUUUUGCCACAUCAAUCGCUGCUGGGCAGUAGGGCCCACAUAUCAUGGCUGCCGUGCCCCUUCUUUCUUUAUAAUUCUUCCUCCUUAGCCAUGCCAUGGCCUCCUCUGUAGGCUAUAGCUUCCACUGCUGCUGCUACAGAUAACCCAUGUUUGACGUUGCAUAACAUCUUCUGAUUUAGAGAGGGGUAUCCUGACAGACAUGUACCAGUCUCCGCAAACCGCUGCACGGCUGCAUCCUGAGGGGAAUGGACAAAGAGAGGAUUAGAGAGGAAGGCUGAGGAGGGAGGCGUUUAGGGCGACUCCAACACGGCCACCCAAAUCGGACACAAAAAGUGUGUCCGUUUGGGUCUGCUGGUGCCCCUAACACGGUCACCCAUUUGGUCCGUUUUAUUAUUUAGUAUUGGCCACGGAUAGGCGGGCCAGGGCAAGGACAAGGGAGGACAAGCGCAGUGUCCACCCGCUGUCCGCCCAGACACAAACCCGGUCAGAUUUGGGUCGGCAAUGGGUUGAGCUGGACAGAAAAGCAGACAGCCGCCACACCGGACGAAAUGGGUCGCCGCGUUGGAGUCACCCUUAAUGCUAAGCUGGGAAAGAGGAAGGGAACAGAAAUAAGAGGAUGAGGACAAGGGAGGGAGAAAAGGGUGCUUCCAAAAAAUCAAUCCCAGGCAUGUGGGGCCUACUGCCCAGUGGAGAAUGAGAUGUCAAAGUUGCUGAUUUGGCGGCUACAUACAGAAUAUCACUCAUGAAACCAGCUUCUGGUCCUAUCGAACGGUUUCAUGAGUUGAUGGUUCAAUUUAGACCAGGCAAAAGUUGAGGGAUCAUAAUUAGGCUUUUCCAAACAUAAAUGAAUGUCAUGCUGUAAAAGUAGUGUUCGUCAUCCAGUAAACUGGUUCGAAUAUCCAACAAGCGCACAACUACUUUAUACACAUCUAAAGAAAGAACAGCUAUUUACAUACCACACAAAGGAGCUGCCUUUUACCAGGAGUUUCAGUUCCUUGGUUGCCAAAUUUUGCUUCUAAAACCGCAAUCAGCGCAAUAUUAUCCUUCAAAGCAAAUAGAACGUGUGAUAAAUAACAUCACUUUUUUUUGCGAAAAGUGAUAAAUAACAUCACUGUAGCAUACAUUAUUUCUUUUGAAGUUAAUCUUACUUUAAUCAGUCGACUUAAAGCCACUCUUUUCUGGGAAGCUGGAAUAAUAGCUUCUGUUAAAGACUGUGCAGCCUUAUUGAACUCAACCUACACAAGCAAGUACAAGUAUUAGAUAGCUGCAAAUAUCAAGCUGCUGCAAACCUGCAGUACAGGUACCUCGUAUUUUUUGACAUGUGAAAAUCUAUCUCUACGGAAGAAAGUAGCACAGCCAUCAAUGGCAUUAGGAACUCCAGCAUACACCUGUGACAACAGUAAAGUAAAAUCAAACAAGAGACAAAAGGUAUUAAACCAAAAUAUGAAGGAAAAAAUCAACCCAAAGAUACCUCUGUUGUCCGUUUCUUGUAAAGCGCCUGAUACCCAUGUUUAUCAAACUCAGGAGCAAAAAAAUCCUCAAAGUGGUUCAAUUGUACCUGAAAACAGUAGGACUUGGCUUAAUUCCCUCCUGUUACAAUCUUCGGUCACUCUUCGUUUUUAUUGUAAGCCGCUUCAGUAAACUCUUCAUAAUAUAUAUGCAGACAAUAUUCGUGAAAGUUUAAACAGCAAGCAAACUAUCAUAAAUUCAUAAUCCAACAUCACUGAAAAGUGAAAACAAUCAAACAAAGUGAUGGCACAAAUAUGGAAACGAACAGCCCAGCAGUAUAUGAAAGAUUGUAGGUUGAUGAACAGGGUUCCGGCAUUAAAGUUUACCGAGUCGCAAAAAUUAUAUGAUCAACCAAAUGAGACAUGCUCGGUUCCUAAAACAAAUAUAUGAGAUGAAAAGCUGAAAAUAGGUCACCAAAAUAAAUAAAUUCAGAAGAUAGCAAACAUAUGAUACCUCCUGAAGACAUAUAAUAUCAGCAUGAUAACCAAUAAUUUCGCGCAUCAAAUUUUGUCUUCUGUAAGUCCAUGAAAGUGCCCACGUUGGGCAGUAGCUAUAUGCAUCAGAUGUAGCAUAUGCAUCAGCAAGAAUAUUAUAGGACAGCACCGUGAAUGUCCCAAAAGAAGAAGUCUGGCUGUCUAUAUCUGAGUGACCCAAAACAUCUCCAUUCACUUGGAUAAGGCGGCGUGGAGUAGGAGUUGGUGCUGGAAUCACACGUGAUGUCAUAAUUGAAGUUGGAGACCCCGCAGGUACUUUCUUUUCCGUAUCCACCGCUGCACAUUCAAAUCUUAGAACAUGCCCAAUAUCAUCAGCAGUUGGUGUAUACGUCUGCGAGCGUCCCACUUCAAACCAUGUUUCACCCGAGUUCUUAUCAGUGCCUGAGGGAUACAAGGGAACAGGUCCAUUAUUAACUCCAGGGCUCUGUCCAAGAUUUGACAUUGAGCCAGACCCAGAACUUAGAAUCCCAGAACUACCGCUGCCAAAUCUACCAAAUAGCUCCUCCUCUUCAGCUCCAUUUUCAUUUAAAGCACUACUAGCUCGCUCAUGCAAAACCCUGUGGUGCUGCCAUGCAUCAGAGAAGCACUUAGCAGAACAAUGGUAGCUCUUAGCAGCAGGUAUUUUUGACUUGAGACAACCUAAGCACUGAAUUGUUGCUUGCUCCAUCGGAUGUACACUGCAGAUAGUAACUUUUCGAUCACUCUGUAUGCGAUACCUUCGAGCGAAAAGUCAAAUCAGUAUAACCAUGUGCUACUAGAUACAGAAAAAGUUUAGAAGAACAUGAUUGAAUAUAGUAACUACAAGAAAGGACACCUAAAUUGCCAAUGUUUUAGCAUGUAUGAGAUCCAGGAAAACUUGCUAUCAGCAUCUUGGAAGUCCAUUAUUCAGAGACAUUAGACUCACAACACUUCCAUUAUAAGCAUAGUAUGAAUAAGGCAAAAUGAAGCAGGUUGCCAAGAUGUCGCAAAAAAAAAGAAGCAAAUUACAAGUUUGCUUGUCAUGAGUUGCUGCUGCUGUUGUUUUUUCUUGAUUUUAGUCCCUCAACCGGCUAACUCGUGAUCAUUCAUCUCUUGCUUUCUUUACCAGAUCAACCAUGCAACUGAUUUCUUUAGCGGACCAGGCAAUAUAUGUAAUAAGCAAAAUUCUACAGUUUAGAUCAGAGAUUCAGAGGACUAUUGCAGGCUCUCAUAUAUCAUCAUUAGGGCAUGACGACCAGACAAGGAAGUUGCUGUGUAUAUUAUUAUUCCUAGAAGAAAAACAUUUAAGUACUGUUCAAGGAGGCGACCAACUAUAGCCCAGUGCCCACCCCAUCAAUCGAUUAGUGUCUUUCAGAACACUUCAUUUCAACAAUGUGUCUAUAAAUGGCCACACUUACUAUACUCAAACCUCAAACCUUAAAAGUGAAUAAAGAUGCACAUAUCACAUGAGAUUCUAUCAAGCUAAUGACUGAAAAGCAACACAAUGAAAAUAUAAAAAACUAUAGAAUUGAAGGACCAAAACCAAUGAAACUGCAUGAGUGUUAGUGGGACCAAGCACCACCAUUUCGAAAAGUUCUAAGGUCUAAAGUCUCAGCAAUAAAUGCUAUUUAAACCUACAUGACAUUAAAAAAACGGAUGUGAUAAAACAAAUAAAUAUUCACGAACAUGAUCAAUCAUUCAGAGCGGGAUUCUAAAAUUGAUCACUGAAAUUGUUCGGCCACCCAGCUAUUAGUGAUUAUACAGCCGAGCUAGCUCAUUGCAGUGGGUGGCAUAACCAGCGGUUACAAGUUCUUUUCUCUCAUAUUUGCCUCUCCAUUUUUCAUUUUUUUAUUUCCAAAUAGAUCUACAAUGUUAUUUGAAUUUUAAAAAUAAUAGGUAGGGCACUCCUUACAUACAUGACCUCCUAGGCCAUUUAAAACAAAUAUGCAUUGUUUGGGGUUUUUUAUAUAACAUAAAGUAAGUUAACUAUGACACACUGCCAAAAUAUUUUUGCAUAAAAAACAUUAAAUUUGAUAUAGCACAGAAAGAACGUGGAUAUCCAGCAAGAGAUUAAAGAAGGCAAAGUGGGGCAGGCAGUCAGCAAAACAAAACUAGUGGAUCACGAGUUUCAAACUUUUACUAGCUUUAAGCAACUGAAAUAACUUGCCACUGAACCUAGUGAGCCAACAACUCUAACGUGUAAUAGCAAACAAGUAAUAAUUCUUUUGAAGCUCCAGAAUAAUCAAAACUGAGUCUAGAAUCAAGCUAGAAUGCCCAUUUGAGUUCACUGGUGAUGUUAGAGUGAUACUUAGUUCAAGGAGUAUAUCCAGAUACCCCAAUCAAAAAAAUCAUCUGAAGCCAUGCGAACAAACUGAUGGCACUUCUAGAAUAGUGUCUUUCCACAAAAUUAGUUAGAUAAGCCUAUGUAAUCCCAAAAUUUAUAAAAUGCUCCCGUUCCAUCCAAGAUGAACGUAAACAUUCCUGCACAACGAUUGGCAACAAUCCUCAACCCAACAGCCUUCAUCACCAUCCUAUGAUGCUAUCUAACACUCAAUAGUUCUAGCAAAACCAAAAUCAGAUGGUCUGUUUUGCUCAAUGAAUUACUUAUUAUCAUUACCAACCCGUGUGGCAGGUUGAUAUGGCAUAGACUAAAUAGUAUGAUUCAUAAACAGGCUUAAAAUAAUGCAAUACUGAGUUCUUUACCAAAUCAAGCAUUGGCAUUUCAUGUUCCCUGGGUUUCCAUUCGUUCCAAAAACAAACAACUGUCUUGCUAGAGAAAAUCAUGCUCAGAAUUCAUAUAGUUGUGCUUCAUUUAUGCAAGAAUCAAGACGAUUCAUGAGUUUAGCAAGUAGUUAAGCAUCUAGCAAACUGAUUGAUACUUAAAGCCCCCAUUUUCUUUUUUUCUUUUUUGUCAAAAUUCACUUGUAGCAACGCACAAGCGGAACUAAGCAUUCGAAAGUGUAUAUCCUAUUGAACCAAAAGUUGCAAUCACGAGCUGCUCACUCACCAUCUGUAUCGCAUGAAGUGGCCAUCAACAGGCGCGGCCUCAGGCACGUCGUCGGUGGAGAUUACACCGUUGGGCAGCCGCAGCAGCACGUACGGGGUGAUUUCGCACCCCACGAUCGGGAUCUCCGACGGCAGGUGCACCCGCACCACGCUCAGCAUCCUCCACUCCUGCUCCCCUCCCCUGCUCUCCUCUGCCCAGCCCAGGGGCGGAUCUAGAUGGUGUGCCGGGUGGGCACCGGCACACCCAAAAUUUGUGGACGCUGCGAGGACGGCGGAAGGCCAGGGCGACGUCGGGAGAGGAGGGGAGCGCCGCCGUCAAGGGGACCGGGAGAGCGAGACAGGGUUAGGGUUGGUUGCCUGAGGGUAUUUUUGGGCAUUUCGAAAAUCUAGAGUUGUGUCCAGCGCAUUUUUUUUCUAAACUAGUAUUGCGUAAGCGGGACGGAGUGGUAAUGUUUGUGCAAGACAAGAGAGAGCCGGAGAGGAUGACAUGUUUUUUUUAACGAUAAUAUUAAAAACUAGUCAAAUGUCCAUGGGACAAACUCAUAUGCGAUACUCACCGCAUUUGUAGUUAUAGAUUAAUACCUUUUCAUAGCAGUUUGCAGAGAUGGAACCAUGAAAGGCGUUGCAGACGUAUAAUUCACUCGCUAAAAAAUCCAUAUUGAGAAAAUAAUUAUGUACUUGAUAGACUCGGUCUCACGAAGUUCUGGUAAGAAGCCGGUUCGGAGGGACAAAGUUCCAGAAAGAUGGCCGCAAUGUCACGCACGACCAGGCGAAUUUGUGAUAGUUUUUUUGUUAUGAAAAAGCAAAGUAUAUGUGAUCGGCAUGCGACCUUGUGGAUUGGGGUUGAAAGUGUUGGACUGCAGUGUAUACCUUCAACCCACCACGUCUUGAUUUAAAGGCCAAAUCAACGUAGGAUUCGGACUCCUUAACUAAAUACGAUUAGGAUUCCCUAUCUAUGUCGGAUUUGGUCUCCUAUUCUGUGAUUGGCAAUUGGGAAUUUAGACAUUAAUCCAUAGCUUCUCCAACUCUUUAGUGAUUGAACGUAACGGUUGGUACAAGCUAGGCUGGGCGCGAUGGGCUGAGGCUGAGGCAAACCAACCAUGGACCUCGUACCGUUUAGAUUGAAAAAAGGACAUGUUUUUUUUUGUUUAUCGAUCAGGACGGACAGGCGCACGCACGAGGGUGAGUUGGAGGUUCAGAUCGGUUGGGCUUAGUGGAAGUUUUAAUGAAAAAGGCCUACGGACGUUCGCCAUCACCACCGAUUGUAAUAUAAUAGACAUUGUAGAUUAGUUAUGAUUUGGACCACCGGGCACCGGAACCCAAGCUGCUCAAUUUUGGCAAAAUUUGCAGAAAGCAAACUCAAACCCGAUGGCUCCUAUGUAGAUGGGAGUGAACUCAGAGUAUUCUCAUCGUGUUGCUACAAAGCUUUUCUUUGAUGAUGUUCCCUCCGUUGUGUUUCCCUUGCGUGCUCAAGGACACAAUGUUGUGAUUGAGGAAAUUGUUGAUGACCCUAGCUCUGCCAUCUUCCGUCCGUAAGUGAGGGCACAAGCAGCGCGUUGCUACUCCAGAAGUAACUUCAGGUCUGUGCCAUAGUUCAUGCUCUACCAUGUUUAGAGGAUUCAAGUCCUAGCUUGUUUCUGAUGUGCAGAAGAAACAGUCCAAGUGUCGAUGUUAUACAUUGUCAGAAUAUGAUUCGGGAUAGCACACGACCAAGGAUUACUACUACUCUUGAUGGCAACAGUCUACGUGUUUAUCAUUUGUUGGAACUCCAAGCACAAAGUGAUGUAACAAAGGGUGUUUUCCCCCACAAGUGUUUUACCCCCAACAAGCACCACAAUGGUUGUCAAUCACAAUGAUCACUAUACAGAAUCACUUAUUUCUGACGCGUUAAAAAACUUCUAGUCUGACGCAAAUGGGACGUGUCACUAAUCAAGUGUCAAAGAUGACUCGGGAACUUCUGACGUGUCAACAAGCGUCAGAAGUAGGAAACCCUAAUGACGCUUCUUGUCGAUUGUUAUUAGAGACAAGUAUCCUCAUGUCGGGUGAAGGCCAUGUUUGUUUGAGCUUCUGCUUCAGCUUUUGGUGGUUCUAGCUCUCUAAAAAGCACUGCUUCCGUUUACACAUGAAGCUGAGAAGCACGUCGUGAGGUGCUUCCCUCCAGAAGCUGCAGGAAGCACCUCCAGACGUGCUUCUCAGCUUCAUGUGUAAACGGGAGAAAUGCUUUUUAGAGGGCUAGAAGCAGCAAAAGCUGAAGAAAAAGAAAAAGCCCAAACAAACAGGGCCGAAGAUGAGUAAGAAGAUAGAGGGGCCUCACGGUGAUAUCUACUCGUGUAAGAUAGAGAACUCGGCGAAAGACAAGGGUUUAUACCGGUUUGACUUGCUCCUUUUCGUGAAAGCAAGCCUACGUCAUGUUGGUAAUCUAAUAUUUGUGUAUGAUAUUACAAGGUGUGUUCUGCCCAUCGAGGGCGCCUAGCCCGCUUUAUAUAGUCAAACAACUAGGGUUUCGGGUAGAGCCGGGUACAACUUUUACAUGGACUGUACCUUCCUAAACUAGUUAGGAUUCUUCCUUUACAAGAUAUCUACAACUAGUAUUUCCUAUUACCUGAACUAGGCUUCCUUCUUCAAUACGACAACUUCCUUGACCGAGUGAUAGGGGAUGUCUGGCUUGUGCGCUGAGUCGACUUUCUCUGUUCAGUCGUCUCUCAGCUACCCGGCUAGAAUAUCCUCGUCAUUAGCCCCGAGUACAAUGUGGAUAGGGGGGAGCUGAAUAAUGCCAUCGUCGUCAAUCUCGAAUCUUUCUCGUUUCAUGUGCUUUUCUUGAGUUGCUUCUUCUUGAUUUUAUUCCGACCUCAAAUCCACAAUGUACUUCUCUAUGACAGCUUGAGGUUCGAGCUCAUGGCUUCUUAUGCAUAAAGUUCAGCUAUAAGAGCAAACCAGCUUCUAUGUGGCAUGUGUUAGCAUUGCAGCGAUAUUAGCUCCUGUUUUGAUUUGUGUUUUUUCCUUAGCUGUAGCGUUGCUUUGAAUUAAUUAGCAACUACGUCGUGCAUGUAAAAAAAAGUGAGUUCCAACAAAUCUCUGACGUGCGCUAGAACAAGAGGUCAGUGAGCAUCAAAAGUAUACUGACGUGGCGACACAAGGAAGAGCUAGGAAAUUCCUCGUGAACAAAGUUGACGCUUCCACAAAGGAAAGAGUCACAUCAGCUAGAAUCUCCUUCGACGCUUACGAAGUAAGGAAGCGUCAGUAGAAAUGAAGAGUCAGAAGUGUGGAAGUUCUCCUACGCUUCUCCGAGGUAGGUGUCAGAAAUAUCUUAUUGACGCUGCCUCGUGGAUGCUACCUAUGACAGUCCUUAUAAGGAGCCGCAGAGAUAAGGAUUUGCGCUGACGCUUUUUAGUUUUGUGUCAGUGGGGAGCUUGCAAGAGUAAAGUCUAUAGUAGUGAGUGUAAGGCUAAACUUUAAAUAAACAAAUAAUAACUUUAAGUAAACUAAUGCAAAACAAUAAUUUAAACUAACUAGAAGAUGCAAUAACUAUAUAAUAAAUACUACUACUUAUUAUGCAACUAAAUAACCAAGAGAGAAUGUUUAAAUGGCUUUUUACAAGAUAUCUAAAAAAAAGCAAUUAAAUAAAUGCAAAAUAAUUGUAACAGAGGUGUUUCUUAUGAUAUUAAAGAGGACCAGGAUACUCUUUGCGGCAUGAAUAUAGCACAUAGGACAAGUUCAUUUACUUUGCAAUGUUUUUAUGAAGUGAAUGAUAAGCAUUCAUAUGGACAUCACGUCCUAAUAUUGAGAAUAUGCAAAAUAUCUCACUAAUGCUCCCUUGGUAAGUGACUCAUCAAACUAGAUUAUUGCUUUAGGUACUUUGACAUGAUGUUGAACUUUAAUGCAACUUUGAGCAAGCAAGACCACCAUUGUUGUCAUUUGGUAGCAUAAUGCGUAUUCAUUUAUCCCUAGCGGGUCAAAUCACUGAAAGGUGAAAAUCAUAGUGGUUCCCAAAAUUUUUGUCACUAUCCGGUUGCCACUACCAAUUGCUCUAUCUAAUACACACAUCCCCACACAUGCACAUGUAAACUAGUAUGAUUAGUACAAGUAAGCAAGAAGGGAUAGACAUAUGCAUCUAUCAAUACAUCAAAACACAAUCCAAACAUUGCAAACUCAUGACUCAUCUCAUAACAAAAGGUUCACCAAUAAAAAAUAUAACGAUGAUCAUAAUCAUGAUAGGAAACUCGUAUGAUUCUAUUACAACCCAUAGCCCAGCGAGGACUACUCCCUCAUCAUAUUGGUGAUGAUAGAGAAUAUGUUCAAGGAGAAGGAGAGGCGACCGAUGGUAUUUUCCCUUCUAAUCUUGGAUCAAUCUGAUGUUGUUUUUUUUCUUUCCGAGUCGUUGUGCUAUGCAAGCGCAAAGCACGGGGUAUUAAUAAAUGGUUUUAGGUCAAGACGAAUCUUCGGGUGAAAGAAUGCACUUGCGGGCGGCCACUCGGGAUAAAAAACAACCAUGGUGAAUUAUGAUAAUCUAGUUUUUUCGACUACUACCUCUGAUCCUAAAUUGUUGUCGUGGUUUUACUUCAAAUUUGUACUAAAACCACGACAAGAAUUAAGGAUCCGAGAGGUAGUUUUUACCUAUUUUUCAAUUCGGCUUACCUAUUAUUUUCUAAUUUUCUUUGUAUGUUUUGACAAAUUCAGCACACUUCAGCAACCCAAACUGAACAUUAGUCCCGUACAGGAUUCCAGAGUGCGUUGUACGCAUGUGUUAGUAUAUUCCUAAGCAAGCAAGAAAAAAAUAAAAAGAAGCAAAUAGUAGCAACUAUCGGUUGAUCCCGGCCCUGGGCCAGGACAAGAAGGGCGACAGCCCGGGCCCGCCCAAUCCAGGGGACCAGAUCAUAUGUGUAUACGCUAGUAGAGAUACAUGUCCAAAUAUUGAUUAGCAUAAAAGAAAGAGGAAAAAAGCUAGAGGCCCAGCAGAUUGCUCCGCUCCUGGCCAACCCAGGACGUAUCAACGUGCUCGAAAAUUCCCCUUGGCACCCGGUAUCCAGGCCUAUGUGUAUCUCAGCCGACCAAUUUUCCAUCCUACGGCUCCAUCCUGCAGCUCCUGUCGUCCGGCCCGUUUAAGUAUACAAUUUGCUAUUCUCCCGUACAGGCGGUAUUUGCACCGGUUGGCCUGACACAUCCUUUUUUAUAUUGCGUUUCCCAGGCUGGCUGGCCCAAGUCCCACCUCGCGCAUUGCUGGGUGAGCACAAGUCCUUUUCUCCCGCUGCAUACCGUGGCACAGGUCUGCCCUUGAGACAUCGCAUUAAAUUUCCAUCAGUCCCAUUUUUUUGGCCCAAGAUUUCUGGGCAGGCACAGGUCCACGCCAUUGGGGGGGCGGUGGCGCGGCUGGCGAGGCCGACGUCGCGGCUGUCGAGGGUGCCUGCCACGGGCGAUGAGUCACCGAGUCAGGCUUCGGUGCCCAGAGCUGAAAAGCGUGCCGCGGUAGACGAUGUUGGGCGCCUUAAUGCCGUGCUCGGACACGAUUCGGUCGGGGACGAAGCUGUCAGUUCCCGCGCAUAGCUCAUCAAGGCUGUACUCUGUGAUCAUCGGCACAGCACUGUCGUCUUCCCCAGUUUCCCCAUUCUCUAUUUCUCUACACAGGGAAAGCAAACAGCAAGGGGAAGAGCAUCCAUCCUGUAAAGCAACGAGCUGCCGGCGAUGGCCUUCUCCACGACCGCGGAGCAACGCAGCGCCGUCCCCGUGCCUUCGCUGGAUGCCCGCUCGCAGCUCCGUGAUGGACCGCUUCCGCACGAGCACCGCCCGCCCGAACGGGUCGUGCGCGUCGGCAAGCGCGAGGGCCGAGGGACACGUUGAGGUGGCCAAAGGCCGGGUCGCUAGGGAAGAACUCCGAGCUGCAGACCGGGGGCGCGGGGCAGGGACGGAUGUUCGGGCAUCGGCCGGACCUCCUCCGUUGGCAGCUUCCGCAGGCGAGGAAAACUUGAGGGGCAACGGCAGAUAUUUGGGAUUUGACGUGGGUAUUGGUGCUCCGAUCUUUCCAUCAGAUUGAUAACUCUCGAUUUGGGUUGAAGAUGACGUUUGACGAUCCGACUACGGUCUAAAAGACAGCGCCUUAGUAAUCAAUACACCAACUACAGAGAGUUAUUGAUCACGCGGGGCACGAUCAACCUGACCACGAAGGUUUUUAUUCCUGCAAGCAAUCGAAAAACAAGCAAGACCAAGAUAAAUAGUGGAUGCAAUCUGAAAUUGCGAAUAUACUAUAUCAAACCAAUGUCUCAAUGAGACGAUAAGUUGGGAUUUCGAAAGUGGUAAAGCAGGUGGUCUAGCCGACAUAGACGAUUACACGAAGUUGUAGCGAUGGCUAACUUUUAACUAAACAAAACCCAAGUCUCCAUAGGGAGGCUAGUGGGGUAUAUAAAAGAGGAGGGAGAGAGAUUUUCGCCCACCUUGAGUAAGGAGGCCGAAAUCCAAAUCUAUUUCUAACUUUUCUAACAAACUAUAACUCUUUAGGAAACAAAAAAACAGAUCCGUCAUCUUGUUUUGUCUGCCACGGCCAGCACGCGUCGAAUCUCCUUGUGGGGUCAAAUCUGUUGGAAAGGUCUUGUAAUUACCUUUCCAACAAGUACUUGUUUGCUUGAUUUGGACUCUGAAUGCGGUCUGGGUGAUUAAAACAAAUUCGGAUCUCCUGACAGCUCGGACCCGAAUCGGAUUCAACUUUAAUUCGUGAUAUCUUUCACUAGCAAGCUCCGAACCAUGUGCCGUUCGAUUUGUUGGAAAGUAGACUUGAUAGGCUUCACCUUGCAUCUCCCGUUGCAUGCUAUCGCACCUCAUCUUCACUUUGGAUUUGAAAAGCUCGACCAAAUAUCUACAUAAUAAAAUGAUACAAGAUAGUAGCUCUGCCUCUUCAUGCAUAUGGCAUUGAAAACAAAUAGUACUUGACUUCACCUGAUUAUAAAAUGUUAUCGAAUACUCUAGAACUGAGGGUGCCAAAGGUUGUAUCUAUGGUUAGCAUGUCCAUAUCAUCUUCCCUUUCUUGAAACAAAAGCCGUCCUCGGUGUCGUUUGUGCUGAAAAGAGACUGACAAAACAGACAAAGUGUGUGCAUGGGUAUAUGUACAUGUCAUCCAUCUUUAUACAUCUCCUUUCUUGCACAAUUAAUGUUUUAUAAAAAAAUCUCAUGAGAUAAGUAGUCAAACAAUCAUCAUGAAUUACAUUCCAGCAAGAAGAUUGACAAUAUGUUUUGCAUAUAUAAGUGAAACAAUAUCUUAUACUAGUAAAAAGCCCGUGCUUUGCUACGGAAGAAGACUUUCUUUUAAAAACAUGCUAUAGGUUAAUUUUCAAAUAGUCGGCUGACUUGGGCUUGCGGGGCUGCGGCUUGGGCUGAAAGGUGGAGAUGGGGUUGGUGGGCCUGAAGGGGGCUCGGGGUUGCUGGGUUGCUGUGGGAUCGAGGCAGCGGGGAGGUUGAAGGCACGGGAGCAAGGGGAGGCAGUGCCGGCGAGGUGGACGAUGGGAGCAGCACGCGAGGGUGCUGGGCUGCCACGGUGACUGGAGCUUGGCGACAACGUUGGCGGAUUGCAGCAGCGAGGGAGAGGAGAAGAGGGCGCAACGAGUAAUGAAGGCAGGAGCGCCAGAGAGAGGAGGCGGCUAGACAGAGGAGAUCGGGAGGGAGAAAGGAGCUCGAGGGGAAAGAUGAAGGAGCAUAGGGGAUAUCGGGGAGGACCGGCUGCCUGGUUGGGUGGACGGGCAGGACAAGAAAAGGGGACGAGAGCGAGAGGGAUAGGGUUCGAGGAAGCCCGCAGAGGUUAGGGCUCGGGGGUCAGACGGAUGUUUUUCGGGACUGGGGAUAUGCAGUGGCAUAUUGAGCGUAAUUUUAAUGGAGUGACGUACCGCGACACCUGUACCAUCACCACCAACUCCAAUUUAAUAUAUUUGUAUAGAUUUAGUUUGCACCGCUCACCAUUAUACCAUCCCAACACUGGAGAAUAAUAAUUAAUGGUACCCAAAUUAGUUACUACAAGAUGCUGAAAUUUAGAGCAAGUCAAAGCAGUAAUAUUCAAACAAUCGUGUAAACAACUAUUUGGCAAAUAAUCAACACCAAUAUUGGAGAUCAUAUCAAAAUAGUUAAGCAUAUGCAAGAAUUUAUUUUCUCCCAAGAUAGUAAAAUUAUCACAAGUAAUACAAAUUUCAUGUACCAAAAAGUUAUUAUUCACAUCAUGUUCUCCAAUUAGUUGAAUAGUGGAUCCAUGAACAUUAGGAAAAGAUUUUGAAAUUGUUAACUUGGACACUUUUUCCAUUGCAUAUGAUAAAUACAUAUGUGUAUCAAGUGUAAUAUAACACAAAGAAUUAAUAGGUGGAUCCUUAUGAAUCACUCCAUGUCUAAUUAACUCGACACAACCUAAGCCAAAUUUAUCUAUCUCACAUGUUUCUCCCAAAGCAUUAGUUCUGUCCUGACAUGAUUCAUGCUCAUCAAUAUCAAAAUUAAUAUGUGCACUAAAAUCAUUAGAAAAAUUAAUUUCAGCACUAGGUGUACUCAAAUCAGCAUGUAAAUCAACAAUUUCACAUGGUGCAGAAAAUUCACCGAGUAUCUCAUUUAUUUCAUCACAUGUCAUAUUUAGUUCAGGAACACAAUCAUCUUUACCAUUACCUUGUGGUCUCGACUCAUUUGUAGUAGACCUUCACUGUAAUUUCCUCUCAACUUCACGAGCAAGAUUAAGCAAACACAAAAAAGAGUCGUAUUUUCCAUAUUCAAUUAUGUAAGAAAUAUCAAAGUUAAGCCCACAAUAAAACCUAUCCAUUUUUGUUUGUUCGGUUUCAUCUAAACCAGAUCGCAAGGUUAGAAUUUGGAACUCCUGAUAGUAAUCAUCAACAGUUUUAUCAUCUUGUUUCAAACGUCGUACUUUUGCACGCAAGUUACAAGCAUAACUAAAAGGGACAUAUUUUUCUCUCAUGAUUUUCUUCAUAUCAACCCAAGUGUGAGGAAUUUUCUUUUCUCUAACUAUCUCACUCCACCAAGAUAAAGCAGCAAAAGUAAAUUUACUACUAGCAAUUUGGAACUUGCGACUAUCAAGUACAUGGAAGCAUGUGAAUUGUUCAGUUAAAGCUAUCUCCCAAUCUAUAUACGUUUCAGCAUCAUUUUCCCCCUUAAAGAAAGGUACACACAAUUUAAUUGUAUUGGAAGGAUUGUUUCGUACCGUUGCCGUCGCAUUGUCAACAAAAGACGUGGAGGAUGGCCAUGGUGAAAAGCACUCAUCGCGGUCACGGGAUUGCAUCGGUCUAGUUCCCAUGCUUCGUGUAAGUCCUGUCAUUGUUAGUAGAAAACAAGAAACAAAUCACAGUAAUAUGUUCCUAUCAACUAAUAGGAUGUGGCUACAAGUCGUUCAACUCUCAAGCUAAAAAUCAAGUUCUUACAAGUUCUUACCAUGCAACAAGAAGGUGAUGGCCAGCGGCUUGACCAAGCCCCUCCGAGGAUUAAAUGUAUCAAUGCCUCGGUAACAAACCAACCUAGGUGUAGAAUCUGUGUAGCUUGGAAGCUUUUGUGAGUAGCAAGGAAUAGCAAAUAAUCAAACAGCAAUGCAAAGUUGAAAAUAUGCUAAAUAAUGCUAGUCCUAACUGCUGGAGUCGAUAAUAACGAAUUACAGAAAUAAUCUAAGCCUAGAUAGUGAAGAAGGUAGGAUAGAAAGAUCAAAAUAAAGGUAAAACAACUAAAUCUCUAGGAUUUUUCUUUUCUUUUAUUUAUUUAUUUAUUUAUUUUUGUGGCCUUCUGUUUGGCUUCUUAUUCUUUUCUUCUUUUUUUAUUUUUUUAAUCCCAGAAACUCAUGCAAAAGAAGUAAAGACCGGAAAACUGCACGUCGGUCUGUCGAAGAACAGCAAAGGGUGCUGUAAGAAAAUGUCAGAAAAAUAUGGAAAAAUAUAGGUUAGGAGCGUAUCGAAACAAGCUUUCCAGGAAGUGCAAGAUCACUCAAAUCGGAGGCCGGACGAUGGAGAUAACGUAAAAACACCGGCCUGCAGCGAUGCCGGAAACCGGAUGCAGAAACUUGGAAGCUCUGAAAGUCCACCUUACAAACCGAGUUUGAGGGUCAAGGAGUCAGUGCGAUGCCCUGGAUAUUUUCUCGUGCGCUUCGUCAUGAGCUUUCCAGAAAGUACUAGAAGGUCCAAAUCUGAGUUGGUGACCGUUUUACUGAACACGGGUCAAACCCACUCGAAACUAUAAUUCUCCUGAACGUGGAUCUGAAACUGAUUCUUUUUCUCUCUCUUUUUUUUCAUUUUUUUUCCUUUUUUUUCCUUCCUUUUCUUUGCUUUUUUUUCACAACUUUCCGAACAACUUGAUCUCUAAACAAAAUUCGAUCUAUUAUGAAACACUUUCCAAAAGCACUCUCGAUUGGACUCGGACUCGAACCCGGAGAAGGACUCGGUGUAUGACUCGAUGGAAGAUUAUGGCGUGGCGGUGGUGUGGCAGGGAGUUUGGCGGCAGAAAAUUGAGGAAGGAAACCUGCGUCACACGAAGAACAAGAAAACCAAAAGCAAGUUCGAUCUAGUAGAAAAAGUCUGAAAAACGAUCCAAUCUAAUCCAGCAACUCGACACGAUUAAUGCAGCAAAGGUUCAACAAUGCAAAUACUAAUGUGAAAAUUGCAAGGCUCAGAUUGGUUUUUGGGACGAAGGUAAGUAAUCUCUACUUUUUUAUUGUCUUUUUCUGGACUAUAGGUAAAACAUAUCUAAACUAUGGAAAAAUACCACGUGAUGUGGGUCGGGGUGGCCCGAUAUUUCGAUGAGAUUGAUAACUCUCGAUUUGGGUAGGAGGUGACGUUGACGAUCCGACUACGGCCUUGAAAGCAGCGUCUUAGCAAUCGAUACACCAACUCCAGAGGGUUAUUGAUCACGCGGGGGCACGAUCAACCUGACCACAAAGGUCUUUGUUCCUACAAGCAAACGAAGAACAAGCAAGAACAAGAUAAAUAUCGGAUGCAAUCUGAAAUUGCGAAUAUACUAUAUCAAACCAAUGUCUCAACGAGACGAUAAGUUGGGGUUCCGAAAGCGGUAAAGCAGGUGGUCUAGCCGACACACGCGAUUACACGAAGUUGUAGCGAUGGCUAACUUUUAACUAAACAAACCCAAGUCUUCAUAGGGGGGCUAGUGGGGUAUAUAAAGGAGGAGGGAGAGAGAUUUUCGUCCACCUUGAGUAAGGAGGCCGAAAUCCAACUGUAUCUCUAACUUUCCUAACAAACUACAACUCUUUAGGAAACGGAAAAACAGAUCCGUCAGCUUGUUUUGUCCGCCACGGCCAGCACGCGUCGAAUCUCUUGUGGGGCCAGAUCUUUUGGAAAGUUCUUGUAAUUACCUUUCCAACAAGUACUUGUUUGCUUGAUUUGAACUCCGAAUGCGGCCUGGGUUAUUAAAACAAAUUCGGGUCUCCUGACAGCUCGGACCCGAAUCGGAUUCAACUUUAAUUCGUGAUAUCUUUCUCUAGCAAGGUCCGAAUCAUGUGCUGUUCGAUUUGUUGGAAAGUAGACUUGAUAGGCUUCACCUUGCAUCUCCCGUUGCAUGCUAUCGCACCUCAUCUUCACUUUGGACUGGAAAAGCUCGAUCAAAUACUUACAUAAUAAAAUGAUACAAGAUAGUAGCUUUGCCUCUUCAUGCAUAUGACAUUGGAAACAAAUAGUACUUGACUUCACCUGAUUAUAAAUAUUAUCGAAUACUCUAGAAUUGAGGGUGCCAAAGGUCGUAUCCAUGGUUAGCAUGUACAUACCAGGCUUGCAGUACGAUGCCCGGAGCUGGGGGAGAUGGCGCUGCACAUGUCGUAUCUGAAGGAGGCGGCGAUUGAGGUGAAGAAGACGGUGGGGGAUGAGACGGUGACAGAUGGGGAAGAGAGGUAGAUGAGGGCGAUGAAGGGAAUAUGCCCUAGAGGCAAUAAUAUUGUAUUAUUAUAUUCCCAAGUUUGUAAUUGAUGUUUAUAUUUCUAUGCUAUAAUUGCAAUGGUUCUUGAACGUGAGAUUCGGAGGAAAACUCAUUUGCAUGUGUGGAAACAUAAACCCUAAUUUAAAGGUCCCUAGUCACGCCUCUUUGACUAGCUUAUAUAUAAUUGAUGAUUCUGUUUUCCUGAUCAUGAGCAUACGAUGCUGGUUAUAUAUGAGAGCACAUUGUUGGUUGAACAAUGGUGUUGGAUUGACCCAACUAAUGAUAUACCGAGAGAUCACAUCGAUUACUUGUUAUCGGUAUUAUUGUUAUUGUUGUAAUUAUCAUUAUCCUUAGACCAUGAAAAUAUCGUAUGAUAUUUAUAUCGGAAGGAUAAUUUGGGUGUUACUUAUUGUUUCCCGUAAUAGGGUUAUCAUGACGGUGAUUUCCGGGUACUCCGGAAAGUACGAAUUGAUUCGAUAGUUCAAGAUUGGGAUUUGCUCCUCUAUCGGUGGAGAGAUACACUAGGGCCCACUCGGUACGAAGAUAUCUAUCACCGUCUGGCCAGACACAAGAAUGAUAUGAUCAUUGAGAUAUCGGAGUACGGAAUGAGUUAAAAGUACAAAACCGGUAACGGGGAUAGCUAGGUACAAGUGGAACAAGGGUUGGUUCACGGGCGUACCGGAAGUCUCACCCCGGGUUUUGUAAACGUAUCGUGAAGCAAAGGGAAAUGGUUUUUAGUAACAAAUGGUUCACUUGAAAGUCUUCGUGUAUGUGUAGUAAUUAUUGAGAGUGUCCAGGCUCUUUAAAUAAUUAUUGACUGGGUCAUAGCUACACAUUUCCCAACCUAGGCGGUCAGACGCUUAACGACGAAUGGUUAUUUGAAGGUCUAAAGUUUGGAAUUUGGUCAAGAGUUGAAUACUGAAGUUGUUCAGAAUGACGAGACAUAUUUUAUGGAGGUCCUAAAUGUGAUUUAGGAGUUACAGAAAUAUUCGGAGUAAUCAUGAGUGCUUCCGGAAGGUUUUAGAAGCCUCUAGAAGGAUCCGAUGGAAAUUCCGGAAGGUCAAAUGGCAAAAGGUCAAAAGUCAAAGGUGGGUCAAACCCUGGUCAAAGGUUGACCAUGGGGGCCAGCCAUCUUGGUUUGGAGAAGGGGUUAUAAGACUCCUAUUAGGAGUUCAUAUCUAUUCCUAUUAGAGGUAGGCGUGCUACUCUUUUUGGAGGAGGACUCUUUUCGUCCUUUGGCCGGACGCCCUCCUAUAUAAGGAGGGGAGGGGUGG